UGGUGGAGUGAUUUGUCUGGUUAAUUCCGUUAACGAACGAGACCUCAGCCUGCUAACUAGUCACAUGAAUACUCACGUAUUCAUGGCUGUACUUCUUAGAGGGACUACCAGGGUCGCACCUGGUGGAAGUUUGAGGCAAUAACA
This 144-nucleotide ribosomal RNA is filed under the name uncultured eukaryote. RNAcentral describes it as "partial 18S ribosomal RNA". It matches the Rfam family "Eukaryotic small subunit ribosomal RNA", at positions 1299 to 1458 of the family's 1831-position model. The record is from RNAcentral.